Molecule: long non-coding RNA, 1174 nt
Filed under: Capra hircus (goat)
Lineage: Eukaryota; Metazoa; Chordata; Mammalia; Artiodactyla; Bovidae
Description: lncRNA (ENSCHIG00010006054.1)
Source: RNAcentral
CGCCCGGGCCGCGGACCGUGCUCAUCUUCGACGAGCUCUCGGACUCCUUGUGCAGGGUGGCCGACCUGGCCGAUUUUGUGAAGAUUGCUCACCCCGAGGCGGCGUUCAGGGAGGCUGCGGAGGAGGCUUGUCGGAGCAUCGGCACCAUGGUGGAGAAGUGGGUGUGGGCUCCCCGGAGGUGCUGGCCGGGGAGGGGGUGCCCACCACAGAAUUCUGGGCUGCUUCCCUGCCUGUCCUGUCACUCGGUCCUCAUCCUGUCGACGGCUGGCACGGUGAUCUGCUCUCGGGGUUGCUGUGGGAAGGGGAGACGGUGACUAAAACGCCUGUGAUGGGGGUGGGGGUCGGGCACAGCGGACGCCCGGGAUCCUCCUCCCCCUCGGUUACGGGCCCUUUAGCAUCUUGGGCAGGUGGUGGCUAAAGCACUGUCACCCCGAUGCCGGGUCUGCAGGGUGAGGCCAGCGGCUUACCUCCAUGUGGUGGCCUUGCGGCCCCCGGGGCUGGCCCUGGGGAGGUCAUAAAGGUGACGUGGGUGCUGCAGCAGGCCGGGCUGGGGGGGAGUUGAUCAUUUUAAAGUGGUUCUGAGGUAAACUAAGUGUGCUUGUUAGGGUAACAGGGAGGGGCAGGACGCCCCCGGGAAGGGUGUCAGGCUCCCAUCAGGGCCUGCGUCUCUGAGACCAGAGGCGGCUGGGAGAGGGGGCUCCUCUUCCCCCGGGGGCUCCUGGCGGGGCCUGAGGGCUGCCUUGCUGUCCCCACCCGCAGCUUUCACACUCUUGGGGACGGUGGCUGUGAAAACUGGCUCCUCAAUGGGUGAACUGGUCGCUGCAAGCUGGGACCCCGGCAUGGUGACGGGACAGGAGCAGGGGCUCCCCGGAGAUGAGCGGGAGCCCCGGGCACCGGCCUGGACUCUUGUCUGCCGGGCUCCGGGUGCAACCUGCCCUACGGGCCCUGCGCUCCUGGUUCCAGGGCGGACGGCAGGAGCCGCGGCCUGUUGAGAGGUGCUGUCGGGAGUGUCGGCCCAGUGUCUUCGCUUGACCCCACGAGGAUGGCUCUCGAUGGAGGUGGGCUCAGGCCCUAUCUGCUCUUCUGGCUGCAGCUGUCUCCUGUGGCUUUAGGUUUACACUUUUACCACCUGGGACACGUUGUUCUCGCACGCUGCCUUCCCUGUACUAACAGU